This 83-nucleotide small RNA is filed under the name Marmota monax (woodchuck). The record is from RNAcentral. Lineage: Eukaryota; Metazoa; Chordata; Mammalia; Rodentia; Sciuridae.
GCUGGGUGUGGUAGUGCAUACCUGUAAUCCCAGCCACUCAGGAGGCUGAGGCAGGAGGAUCACAAGUCCAAAGUCAGCCUCAG